Molecule: ribosomal RNA, 497 nt
Filed under: uncultured bacterium
Lineage: Bacteria
Description: partial 16S ribosomal RNA
Rfam family: Bacterial small subunit ribosomal RNA
Source: RNAcentral
GAUGAACGCUGGCGGCGUGCCUAAUACAUGCAAGUCGAGCGAACAGAUGAGGAGCUUGCUCCACUGACGUUAGCGGCGGACGGGUGAGUAACACGUGGAUAACCUACCUAUAAGACUGGGAUAACUUCGGGAAACCGGAGCUAAUACCGGAUAAUAUAUUGAACCGCAUGGUUCAAUAGUGAAAGACGGUUUUGCUGUCACUUAUAGAUGGAUCCGCGCCGCAUUAGCUAGUUGGUAAGGUAACGGCUUACCAAGGCAACGAUGCGUAGCCGACCUGUGAGGGUGAUCGCCCCCACUGGAACUGAGACACGGUCCAGACUCCUACGGGAGGCAGCAGUAGGGAAUCUUCCGCGAUGGGCGAAAGCCUGACGGAGCAACGCCGCGUGAGUGAUGAAGGUCUUCGGAUCGUAAAACUCUGUUAUUAGUGAAGAACAAAUGUGUAAGUAACUAUGCACGUCUUGACGGUACCUAAUCAGAAAGCCACGGCUAACUACGUG